GAUGAACGCUGGCGGCGUGCCUAAUACAUGCAAGUCGAGCGAACAGACGAGGAGCUUGCUCCUCUGACGUUAGCGGCGGACGGGUGAGUAACACGUGGAUAACCUACCUAUAAGACUGGGAUAACUUCGGGAAACCGGAGCUAAUACCGGAUAAUAUAUUGAACCGCAUGGUUCAAUAGUGAAAGACGGUUUUGCUUUCACUUAUAGAUGGAUCCGCGCCGCAUUAGCUAGUUGGUAAGGUAACGGCUUACCAAGGCAACGAUGCGUAGCCGACCUGAGAGGGUGAUCGGCCACACUGGAACUGAGACACGGUCCAGACUCCUAAGGGAGGCAGCAGUAGGGAAUCUUCCGCAAUGGGCGAAAGCCUGACGGAGCAACGCCGCGUGAGUGAUGAAGGUCUUCGGAUCGUAAAACUCUGUUAUUAGGGAAGAACAAAUGUGUAAGUAACUAUGCACGUCUUGACGGUACCUAAUCAGAAAGCCACGGCUAACUACGUG
Molecule: ribosomal RNA, 497 nt
Filed under: uncultured bacterium
Lineage: Bacteria
Description: partial 16S ribosomal RNA
Rfam family: Bacterial small subunit ribosomal RNA
Source: RNAcentral